GCCUCGGUAGUGCAGUGGUUCGCCUGCGCCUUCGGAAAGGGUGAGACGCAGGUUUAACCCCUGUCCAAGGUU
Non-coding RNA from Parelaphostrongylus tenuis, 72 nucleotides. NCBI's taxonomy places the organism in Eukaryota, Metazoa, Nematoda, Chromadorea, Rhabditida, Metastrongylidae. The record is from the annotation of a GenBank genome assembly.